Molecule: ribosomal RNA, 468 nt
Filed under: uncultured bacterium
Lineage: Bacteria
Description: partial 16S ribosomal RNA
Rfam family: Bacterial small subunit ribosomal RNA
Source: RNAcentral
GACGAACGCUGGCGGCGUGCUUAACACAUGCAAGUCGAACGGAAGGGCCCUGCUUUUGUGGGGUGCUCGAGUGGCGAACGGGUGAGUAACACGUGAGUAACCUGCCCUUGACUUUGGGAUAACUUCAGGAAACUGGGGCUAAUACCGGAUAGGAGCUCCUGCUGCAUGGUGGGGGUUGGAAAGUUUCGGCGGUUGGGGAUGGACUCGCGGCUUAUCAGCUUGUUGGUGGGGUAGUGGCUUACCAAGGCUUUGACGGGUAGCCGGCCUGAGAGGGUGACCGGCCACAUUGGGACUGAGAUACGGCCCAGACUCCUGCGGGAGGCAGCAGUGGGGAAUAUUGCACAAUGGGCGGAAGCCUGAUGCAGCAACGCCGCGUGCGGGAUGACGGCCUUCGGGUUGUAAACCGCUUACGCCUGUGACGAAGCGUGAGUGACGGUAAUGGGUAAAGAAGCACCGGCUAACUACGUG